This is a long non-coding RNA of Pongo pygmaeus (Bornean orangutan), 228 nucleotides long. RefSeq lists it as uncharacterized. The record is from RefSeq and is a predicted model, not a curated record. Lineage: Eukaryota; Metazoa; Chordata; Mammalia; Primates; Hominidae. The transcript has 3 exons.
GAUGGUGGAGAUACAUUUUCAGCAUGAGACACACCCCUAGAGUCAAGGAAACUUUUAUUUUGAGCUAUUGACAGCUUUAACAAUUUAGUAUACUCCUAUGAACACAAUUUGGAGCAUAUCUGUUUCCCUCUACUUGAUUUCUCCAGAAUUUGGAAACUAUUUAGUCACUGAAAACAAAGCUGUGCUUUUGUAAAGCUCUGCAAACUGAAACUAGACAACUUGAACUUC